GCCACAAACUUAGCCCAAAAUUUAUGAAUAUCAUGAAGAUAACUGUAUACUUAAAGUAAACCAUUUUAAUAUUUUAGUAAAGGAGAUAGAAAAAUCUAUUGGAGCUAUAACAACAGUACCGCAAGGGAAAAGUGAAAUACCAAAUGAAAAAUCAAGCAACAAAAAGUAAAGACUAUCUCUUGUACCUUUCGCAUCAUGGUUUAACUAGUCAAAUCAGGCAAAAUGUAUUUAAGUUCGACCCCCCGAAACUAAGUGAGCUACUUCAAGGCAGCUGAAAGAGCGAACCCGUCUCUGUAGCAAAAGAGUGGGAUGACCAUCAAGUAGAGGUGACAGACCUAACGAACUUAGUGAUAGCUGGUUACUCAAAGAAACGGAUCUUAGUCCAACCUAAAUUAAUAACCCUUAACAGUACACAAAAACAACCUUACAUUAUUUUAGCGUAACUCAAAUAAGGUACAGCUUAUUUGAGGCAGGAUACAACCUAAACCAGUGGAUAAGAUUAGCCUAAUGAACAAUCAAGUUGGCCUAAAAGCAGCCAUCUUUAAAAUUGCGUCGAAGCUUAGUUGUUCUAAUGCCCAAUUCCAAAGCCCUCAUCUUAAUCCCCCUCCAGUACUGAGUAAUUCUAUAGUACUAUAGAAACUUUUAUGUUAAAACUAGUAACAAGAAGAAGACCCUUCUCUUAAAUGUUAGUGUCUAUCAGAUAGGACAAACCACUGAUAUUUAACACCCUUGACCCCAAAGUAGUAACGAAUCAAGAAAAUUCUACCAUCGUUAGUGUUAAUCUUACACAAGAAUAUUUUAAGAAAGAUUUAAAAAAUAAGAAGGAACUCGGCAAAUAUUAACCCCGCCUGUUUACCAAAAACAUCGCCUCUUGAACUUAAUAAGAGGUCCAGCCUGCCCAGUGACUCUGUUCAACGGCCGCGGUAUCCUAACCGUGCGAAGGUAGCGUAAUCACUUGUUCUUUAAAUGAGGACUAGUAUGAAUGGCACCACGAAGGUUAUACUGUCUCCUUUUUUUAAUCAGUGAAACUAAUCUCCCCGUGAAGAAGCGAGGAUAAAAUUAUAAGACGAGAAGACCCUAUGGAGCUUUAAAUAACAUGGCAUCUACCUCACAACAUAACUUCUAAACAAGAUUUUUAGGUAGCAUGACUAUAAGUUUUUGGUUGGGGUGACCACGGAGUACAACACAGCCUCCACGUUGAAGGAAUAUUAUUCUAAACUAAGACCUACCUGUCAAAGAAUCAAUAUUUUGACAUUCAUUGACCCAAUACUAUUGAUCAACGAACCAAGUUACCCUAGGGAUAACAGCGCAAUCCACUUUAAGAGCCCCUAUCGACAAGUGGGUUUACGACCUCGAUGUUGGAUCAGGGUCUCCAAGUGGUGCAGCCGCUACUA
This 1394-nucleotide ribosomal RNA is filed under the name Ansonia endauensis. RNAcentral describes it as "partial 16S ribosomal RNA". It matches the Rfam family "Bacterial large subunit ribosomal RNA", at positions 133 to 2567 of the family's 2925-position model. The record is from RNAcentral. Lineage: Eukaryota; Metazoa; Chordata; Amphibia; Anura; Bufonidae.